AUUGAACGCUGGCGGCAGGCUUAACACAUGCAAGUCGAGCGGAUGAGGGGAGCUUGCUCCUGGAUUCAGCGGCGGACAGGUGAGUAAUGCCUAGGAAUCUGCCUGGUAGUGGUUGAUAACGUCCGGAAACGGGCGCUAAUACCGCAGACUUCCUGAGGGAGAUAGUUGGGGGGCUUCGGACCUCACGCUAGCAGGUGAGCCUAGGUCGGAUUAGUUAGUUUGUGGGGUAAAGGCCUACCAAGGCGACGAUCCGUAACUGGUCUGAGAGGAUGGUAAGUCACACGAGAAGUGAGACACGGUCCAGACUACUGAGGUACGCCGCAGUGGGGAAUAUUGGACAGUGGGGGAAAGCAUGAUCCAGCCGUGCCGCGUGUGUGGAGAAGGUCUUCGGAUUGGAAAGCAGUUUAAGUUGGGAGGAAGCGCAGUAAGUUAAUACCUUGCUGGUUUGACGUUACCAACAGAAUAAGCACCGGCUAACUUCGUG
RNAcentral lists this ribosomal RNA (484 nucleotides) under uncultured bacterium. RNAcentral's name for it is "partial 16S ribosomal RNA". It matches the Rfam family "Bacterial small subunit ribosomal RNA", at positions 30 to 507 of the family's 1533-position model. The record is from RNAcentral.